Molecule: ribosomal RNA, 492 nt
Filed under: uncultured bacterium
Lineage: Bacteria
Description: partial 16S ribosomal RNA
Rfam family: Bacterial small subunit ribosomal RNA
Source: RNAcentral
AGCGAACGCUGGCGGUAGGCCUAACACAUGCAAGUCGAACGGCAGCACAGUAAGAGCUUGCUCUUACGGGUGGCGAGUGGCGGACGGGUGAGGAAUACAUCGGAAUCUACUUUUUCGUGGGGGAUAACGUAGGGAAACUUACGCUAAUACCGCAUACGACCUACGGGUGAAAGCAGGGGAUCUUCGGACCUUGCGCGAUCGAAUGAGCCGAUGUCGGAUUAGCUAGUUGGCGGGGUAAAGGCCCACCAAGGCGACGAUCCGUAGCUGGUCUGAGAGGAUGAUCAGCCACACUGGAACUGAGACACGGUCCAGACUCCUACGGGAGGCAGCAGUGGGGAAUAUUGGACAAUGGGCGCAAGCCUGAUCCAGCCAUACCGCGUGGGUGAAGAAGGCCUUCGGGUUGUAAAGCCCUUUUGUUGGGAAAGAAAAGCAGCAGGUUAAUACCCCGCUGUUCUGACGGUACCCAAAGAAUAAGCACCGGCUAACUUCGUG